Molecule: long non-coding RNA, 1765 nt
Filed under: Nicotiana tabacum (common tobacco)
Lineage: Eukaryota; Viridiplantae; Streptophyta; Magnoliopsida; Solanales; Solanaceae
Description: long non-coding RNA (NTAB_LNC017786)
Source: RNAcentral
AAUGAUCAGUAGAUUGAAUGGAUUGAAACUACUUACCACACAAUACACAAGAUAAUUGCAAUUUCAGUAACACUAGCAUAUUUUAUGAAUAUUAGCUGAUAGAAGAUUAAACGCAAAAUACUUAUACUACUUUAGCAGAGGUGCACAGAUAAAGCAUUUGCCGGAACGUGUAUUAGAUGUCCAUCUUUUGCCACUGCAAGGAUUAAAGGAUGAAAAUAAAACAGUAAGAUUACCUAGGAAGAACCAAAAUUGUUUUGAAUAAAUGAACAAACAGAAAUUAAGACUAACAGAAGAAUUCAAUGUCAUAGUACGUAACCGGUCAGCCGCGAUGGGCACCCGAUACCUUACCCAACCGAGUACCAACGUAAGUACGUAACAUAUCUUUCAUAUCAUUCUAUCAUAGGUAAGUGCAGAGUAAAGCAUGAGAGAAUACAAACUUAUACAUAUGAAGUAAUGGCCUAUAAGACCAAAAUAACAACUCGUAUACUGAACAUGGGCCGACAAGGCCAUACAAUCUUUUACGUACAUGACAUCUGUCUACAAGCCUCUAAGAAUACAUAAUUUUCAUAAAGGUCAGAACAGAGUCCCUCCAUACCAAACAAUACACGUCUAAAUCAUACUAACCAAUAAAGCAACUCCGAAGCAAAGGAGCACACCAACAUCUUCCGCUGAGCUGAUAGCCUACUUGGAGGGCUUUCGACCUGUCUAUCGAGACUUGCAGGCAUGAAAUGCAACGUCCCCAAGCAAAUGGGACAUCAAUACAAAUAAUGUACCGAGUAUGUAAGGCACAUAAAUAAGUACAUAACAGAUAUGGAAGAAAUAUAAAGUAAGUGAUUCACCUAUAAGUCUGGAUAACUUUGUAAAUCAUGAAAUACUGAUAGUGUCAUUCAUACGCAUAUGAAUGUCAUGUCGUGCAUAAGUACAUGUGUUCAUAACAUCAUCAAGUCUCUGAGGGCAUCCCAUCAUAUCAUCUCGGCUACUGUGGCAAAUCAUCAACGUAUACCAGCUGAUCAGGUGGUGGUUCGUAUAUAAUGCCGUAACCUUUUUCCAUACCCCAUAUACAUAUAUUUACAUAUAUACACGUAUAUAACGCCAUCUGGUCAUGGGUCAAUUGAAAUGAAUGCAAUGCAUGAGAAGUACGCCAAUAAAAUCUUUCGGAGUGUCAUACGACCAUUAUACCUUUGAAUAAUAUCAUGAAGUAAACUUUAACAACUUACAUAUUUUCUGAGACCCAUGAACAAACGAUAGAAUAAUAAGACUUAUGGGAAAACAAGAAUAUACGCAUAUCUAGCAUUUCUACGAAUUGAGUAAUUUAUGGAAGUUGUGCAUUUACUCGUUUCGUUUGUAUCGUAUAGAUCAUGCUAAAAAGAAGAAAGGAUGGCCUUAACAUACCUGGAGUAGGGAAAAAUCUGUAUGAUAUUCUUGGGAAAGGUUGUAUCGUGCUCUCUUAGAACCACAAAAUCCCGUUGCGAUUAUACAAUGUAGCUUUACGUGAAUUCCUUUGCUAAAGCAAUCAUGUUUUCCAUCUCAUAUACUUGUGAAUUUGAGGCUUUUAUGGCUUAGUCAAGAUUCCUUCUAAUGGUGCCAUAACUUUUUCCUAUUUUCUAAGUUAUAGUUAUUAUGAAAAAGUAUUUAAAGAAUGACAAAGAAAUUUGAGAAUGUGAAAUCAAAGUGAUUGGAAAAGAAUAAGAACAAUGGUCUUUGGUUUGUACGGAAAUCUUGAUGUCUCUCAUUAAAUAUUUGUGAGUCGUGGUUCUUAAUGCUA